Molecule: transfer RNA, 91 nt
Filed under: Microvirga sp. VF16
Lineage: Bacteria; Pseudomonadati; Pseudomonadota; Alphaproteobacteria; Hyphomicrobiales; Methylobacteriaceae
Description: tRNA-Lys
Source: RNAcentral
GAGAUUCGUUGUGCCGCAAGGAUUCGCGCGGACUCGCUCUUUCUAACUUUUAAUCAGAGGGUCCUGGGUUCGAGUCCCAGCGCGCUCACCA